Sebastes umbrosus (honeycomb rockfish) is the source of this 505-nucleotide long non-coding RNA. RefSeq lists it as uncharacterized. The transcript has 2 exons. NCBI's taxonomy places the organism in Eukaryota, Metazoa, Chordata, Actinopteri, Perciformes, Sebastidae. The record is from RefSeq and is a predicted model, not a curated record.
UGAAAUGUGCUGGUGCAGAUGUGUCCUUCCUCCAACUGUAGAUUCGGCGUUUUUUCACAUUAAACUCUGUGAAAUUAGAGUUGAGUUCAACCAAAGCACACUUGGUGAUUGUUGGAAAGAGUAACGACGACGGUUUAGGAUCUCUUCAUAGGACUGUCUGAUGGAGUCCUGCAGAGGAGUGUCCCUCUCGCCAGCCUCCUCCACCUUCCUCUUGGCCUGCUUCACCUCAUCUCUGAGCUUCUUCAGCCUCCACCUGACUCUGGCAAGUUCCCUCUCGUACUCCUCCACCUGGCUCUCCUUCUGCACCUCCUCCGCCUGCAGAGACAAGAUCUGGCAACAAAGGACAGAGAGACAAAAUGGCUUUCUGUCACAUACACUGUGCUGCUAAAACGACCUUGAUAGAGAUACUAUCCAGGAAAUGUAAUUUUAAACUGUUGUUUGAAAUAAAGUAUACCGCUAAAAAAAACACACUGCUUGUUGAAUUAAAAAAAAAUUCAGAAAAUGA